RNAcentral lists this long non-coding RNA (280 nucleotides) under Elaeis guineensis (African oil palm). RNAcentral describes it as "long non-coding RNA (EGUI_LNC012144)". The record is from RNAcentral. Lineage: Eukaryota; Viridiplantae; Streptophyta; Magnoliopsida; Arecales; Arecaceae.
GUAGGUCCUACCUACGACAACGGUUACAGUAACCGCUACAGUAGAUCUAUCUAUGGCAUGAUUAUCCAUAACCACUAUCGUAGGUCGACCUACGGCAGCAGUUAUUUAUAACUGCUGCCGUAGGUUCUGUAACAGUGAUUUUAGAAACCACUGCCGUAUUAGCACUACCAUAGCUCCUUUUUGUAGUAGUGAUAGAUUGUACAUUGAGCUUAGACUUGAGAUGGAAAUUAUCGAUAGAAGAGAUCUUUGGUUAGUAUAUCACCAAAUUGCUUUAGAGAGG